CCUACGGGAGGCAGCAGUGAGGAAUAUUGGUCAAUGGGCGCGAGCCUGAACCAGCCAAGUCGCGUGAGGGAAGACGGUCCUAUGGAUUGUAAACCUCUUUUGUCGGGGAGCAAAAGACGCCACGCGUGGCGUUCCGAGAGUACCCGAAGAAAAAGCAUCGGCUAACUCCGUGCCAGCAGCCGCGGUAAUACGGAGGAUGCGAGCGUUAUCCGGAUUUAUUGGGUUUAAAGGGUGCGCAGGCGGAAGAUUAAGUCAGCGGUAAAAGUGCGGGGCUCAACCUCUUCGAGCCGUUGAAACUGGUUUUCUUGAGUGAGUGAGAAGUAUGCGGAAUGCGUGGUGUAGCGGUGAAAUGCAUAGAUAUCACGCAGAACUCCGAUUGCGAAGGCAGCAUACCGGCGCUCAACUGACGCUCAUGCACGAAAGUGUGGGUAUCGAACAGGAUUAGAUACCCGAGUAGUC
Molecule: ribosomal RNA, 459 nt
Filed under: uncultured bacterium
Lineage: Bacteria
Description: partial 16S ribosomal RNA
Rfam family: Bacterial small subunit ribosomal RNA
Source: RNAcentral